CAGGAUGAACGCUAGCGACAGGCUUAACACAUGCAAGUCGAGGGGUAACAGGGUAGCAAUACCGCUGACGACCGGCGCACGGGUGAGUAACGCGUAUGCAACCUGCCUAUAACUGGGGAAUAGCUCCCUGAAAGGGGAAUUAACACCGCAUAACACUAUUGAUUCGCAUGGAUUGGUAGUUAAAUGUAGCGAUACAGGUUAUAGAUGGGCAUGCGUGACAUUAGCUAGUUGGUGAGGUAACGGCUCACCAAGGCUACGAUGUCUAGGGGUUCUGAGAGGAAGGUCCCCCACACUGGUACUGAGACACGGACCAGACUCCUACGGGAGGCAGCAGUGAGGAAUAUUGGUCAAUGGGCGCAAGCCUGAACCAGCCAUGUCGCGUGCAGGAAGACUGCCCUAUGGGUUGUAAACUGCUUUUAUAGUAGAAGAAACACAUCUACGUGUAGAUGUCUGCCAGUAUACUAUGAAUAAGCAUCGGCUAACUCCGUGCCAGCCGCUGC
RNAcentral lists this ribosomal RNA (500 nucleotides) under uncultured bacterium. RNAcentral's name for it is "bacterial SSU rRNA". It matches the Rfam family "Bacterial small subunit ribosomal RNA", at positions 25 to 518 of the family's 1533-position model. The record is from RNAcentral.